UACAGAGGUCCCGAGCGUUGUUCGGAUUCACUGGGCGUAAAGGGUGCGUAGGCCGCACGGUAAGUCAGAGGUGAAAUCCCGGAGCUCAACUUCGGAAUUGCCUCCGAUACUGCCGUGCUUGAGGACUGGAGAGGAGAUUGGAAUUCACAGUGGAGCAGUGAAAUGCGUAGAUAUUGUGAGGAACACUAGUGGCGAAGGCGAAUCUCUGGACAGUUCCUGACGCUGAGGCACGAAGGCCAGGGGAGCAAACGGG
RNAcentral lists this ribosomal RNA (253 nucleotides) under uncultured bacterium. RNAcentral's name for it is "partial 16S ribosomal RNA". It matches the Rfam family "Bacterial small subunit ribosomal RNA", at positions 524 to 776 of the family's 1533-position model. The record is from RNAcentral.